UCUUCCCUCUUUCUUCGUGCUUAACACAUGCAAGUCGAACGAUGAAGCCCAGCUUGCUGGGUGGAUUAGUGGCGAACGGGUGAGUAACACGUGAGUAACCUGCCCUUAACUCUGGGAUAAGCCUGGGAAACUGGGUCUAAUACCGGAUAGGAGCGUCCACCGCAUGGUGGGUGUUGGAAAGAUUUAUCGGUUUUGGAUGGACUCGCGGCCUAUCAGCUUGUUGGUGAGGUAAUGGCUCACCAAGGCGACGACGGGUAGCCGGCCUGAGAGGGUGACCGGCCACACUGGGACUGAGACACGGCCCAGACUCCUACGGGAGGCAGCAGUGGGGAAUAUUGCACAAUGGGCGCAAGCCUGAUGCAGCGACGCCGCGUGAGGGAUGACGGCCUUCGGGUUGUAAACCUCUUUCAGUAGGGAAGAAGCGAAAGUGACGGUACCUGCAGAAGAAGCACCGGCUAACUACGUG
This 466-nucleotide ribosomal RNA is filed under the name uncultured bacterium. Its description in RNAcentral is "partial 16S ribosomal RNA". It matches the Rfam family "Bacterial small subunit ribosomal RNA", at positions 36 to 507 of the family's 1533-position model. The record is from RNAcentral.